AGCGAACGCUGGCGGCAGGCUUAACACAUGCAAGUCGAGCGGGCCCUUCGGGUCGAGCGGCGGACGGGUGAGUAACGCGUGGGAACGUGCCUUCUGGUCUGGAAUAACCCUCGGGAAACUAGGGCUAAUACCGGAUACGCCCUUUUGGGGAAAGGUUACUGCCGGAAGAUCGGCCCGCGUCUGAUUAGCUAGUUGGUGGGGUAACGGCCUACCAAGGCGACGAUCAGUAGCUGGUCUGAGAGGAUGACCA
RNAcentral lists this ribosomal RNA (250 nucleotides) under uncultured bacterium. RNAcentral's name for it is "partial 16S ribosomal RNA". It matches the Rfam family "Bacterial small subunit ribosomal RNA", at positions 29 to 306 of the family's 1533-position model. The record is from RNAcentral.